This 599-nucleotide ribosomal RNA is filed under the name uncultured bacterium. Its description in RNAcentral is "bacterial SSU rRNA". It matches the Rfam family "Bacterial small subunit ribosomal RNA", at positions 338 to 965 of the family's 1533-position model. The record is from RNAcentral.
CCUACGGGAGGCAGCAGUGGGGAAUUUUCCGCAAUGGGCGAAAGCCUGACGGAGCAAUACCGCGUGAGGGAGGAAGGCUCUUGGGUUGUAAACCUCUUUUCUCAGGGAAGAAAAAAUGACGGUACCUGAGGAAUAAGCAUCGGCUAACUCUGUGCCAGCAGCCGCGGUAAUACAGAGGAUGCAAGCGUUAUCCGGAAUGAUUGGGCGUAAAGCGUCCGCAGGUGGUUUUGUAUGUCUGCUGUUAAAGAGUUAGGCUUAACCUAAUAAAGGCGGUGGAAACUACAAGACUAGAGUACGUUCGGGGCAGAGGGAAUUCCCAGUGUAGCGGUGAAAUGCGUAGAGAUUGGGAAGAACACCGGUGGCGAAAGCGCUCUGCUAGGCCUGUACUGACACUGAGGGACGAAAGCUAGGGGAGCGAAUGGGAUUAGAUACCCCAGUAGUCCUAGCCGUAAACGAUGGAUACUAGGCGUUGUCUGUAUUGACCCGGACAGUGCCGUAGCUAACGCGUUAAGUAUCCCGCCUGGGGAGUACGCAGCACUGUGAACUACAAUAGAUAGACGGCGUGAGACGNGCCGACGGACGACGACGAGGGAGGUAGG